This 2056-nucleotide long non-coding RNA is filed under the name Bos indicus x Bos taurus (hybrid cattle). RNAcentral describes it as "lncRNA (ENSBIXG00000025866.1)". The record is from RNAcentral. Lineage: Eukaryota; Metazoa; Chordata; Mammalia; Artiodactyla; Bovidae.
AGUCUGUGAGAAAGUGUCUUCUAUUUUAUCCGACAACUUCAAAUUGAGGAAGAAUAAAAAUAGAAAAGCAGAAUCAUCUCCAUCAAAUCUGUGUAACACUUCAGAGGAACUAAAGCAGGUCAGUUCCUCCAAAGUAAAUGCCACCUAACAGGUCAUGACGUGGGGUUGCCUGGCGUGCUGCAGUCCAUGGGCUUAUGAGGUGAGGUCUGCCCAGCCGGGACUGUAUUCCAGGUAGUCGUAGAGACUCCAGCCACAUCCUCUCUGACAGUUAGGGGAGCGCAAGUCUGUGCUCCUGCAGGUUCUCCUCUUCCCUCACCUACUACCCCUUUGGUCUGAGUCCCUUUGCACCUCCUUCUAGCCUCCUCUUCAGCACCCAGUAAAGCCUCAGUCCUCGUCCCCAGCUACCCCCUUGCCCUGCUAAGCCCCCUUUUUGGAGUGGAGCUGCCAUUCUUCCAGAUUAGUCCUUUGUCACUCUCCCUGCAUCCCGGCUGACAAUUGCCAGCCCCUCAGGAAGGAGGACUAAAGACCUUUUGAGCCAGGUAGUGAAAAUUUGAACACUCCCAGGGAAGUAGUGUGUACACCAGAUUCAGGAGAGUGAUUUUCUAUAGGGAGGGAGAGAGGAACUAGAUGGAGAAGGUCUUGGGGUGGUUAGUUGCAUAUUUAACUUUUUUUUUUUUCGGCCGUUCCAGGUCUUAGUUGCAGUAUGUGGGAUAUAGUUCCCCAACCAGGGAUCGAACCUGGGCCCCCUGCAUUGAGAGCGUGGAGUCUUAGCCAUUGGACCACCAGGGAAGUCCCCAGAUACAACUUUUAAAGAGAUGGAGCAAAUAUAUGAAAUCUCUUGGUGGAGUUUCUACCCCUACAUCAAGAUCCACUUCUGUCCUGGCCACCGAAGCAGCCCUUGACACCCAGUCCAGCUCUGCCUUCCUUCAGGUUGGGGAAGAGCUAACUGGGAAUCUCUCCAGGUGCCGGCAGAGCAGCUCAGGCAAUCAAAGUGCUAAGGUACCCGAGUUGCCAAGCUUUGAAGAGGCAGUUUGUUGGGGGCAGGGUUGGGGGGUGGGGAUGGGGGAUGAAGCUGGUGAUGGAACUUCUCAAGGGAGCUGCCUGCCCAGAUUUCCCUCUUGAAUGUUUCUAGCUAACAGGUGGUCCCUCCACUGGAAGUAAAUUCCUGGGUAUUUUUACCCAACACCUCAUAAACAAAAUGGCAAUGCUAUUGGCUAUGUCAUACAACCAGGCGUAUUGAAUCAUGUCCCCAUUCAUCAAUUUGCCAAACAAAGCAGGUUGCUAUCUGAGCUUGUUUGGAGAGAGGCUAACUAUGGGAAGGAAGAAAAACUCAGGCAUCUGCCUACACGUACACUGUCAAGAUUUAAAUGAUAGAUGUGCUCAGUGGUAUCCAACUCUUUGUGACCCCAUGAACUACAGCCCACCAAGUUCCUCUGUCCAUGGGAUUUUCCAGGCAAGAAUACUGGAGUGGGUUGCCAUUUCCUUCUCUAGGGAAAUGAUACAUACAGGAUGACUUGGUGCAUUUUUAAGUGACCCUUUCCCUACAUAAGACUGCACUGGCAGCAUGGUUGACACUCUAGUCAUUGUUAUGAGAACCGCACUAUAAUGCCUCGGGGAGGCCUGUUGCACUGGAACUGAGGUAGGGAGGAGAUGGAACCCAAGAGAGAUGCAGAAUGUAUCCAGAGGAUAACUGAUUUAUUUUUUUUUAAAGGCAUUUUAUUUUUUAAAGUCUUUAUUGAAUUUGUUAAAAUACUGCUUCUGUUUUAUAUUUCAGUGUUUCUUUUGGCAUGUGGAAUCUUAGCUCCCUGACCAGGGAUCGCACUCGUAUCCCCUGCAUUGGAAGGUUAAAGUUUUAACCACUGGACCAUCCAUGUUUUAUAAAUCCAUCCAUUCAUUUAAAAACACAUUGAGCAGCUCUCAUUAGGCCUUGUGCUGUAUGCUAGACACACCAAGAUUCACGAGGCUUACACGCUGAUGGGGGAUUCUCUAUGUAUGUGCAGGAUAGUGUGUUAAGUGUGAUAAUAAAGGUACACAUAAAAUAUAGAGGGGAUCUAGG